Molecule: ribosomal RNA, 310 nt
Filed under: Darevskia derjugini
Lineage: Eukaryota; Metazoa; Chordata; Lepidosauria; Squamata; Lacertidae
Description: partial 12S ribosomal RNA
Rfam family: Bacterial small subunit ribosomal RNA
Source: RNAcentral
CCGCCAGAGGACUACAAGUGAAAAACUUAAAACUCAAAGGACUUGACGGUGUCCCAUACCGACCUAGAGGAGCCUGUCCUAUAAUCGAUACUCCCCGCUCCACCCAACCCCAACUAGCAUACCUCAGCCUAUAUACCGCCGUCGAUCAGCCUACCCUAUGAAGGUCCAACAGUAGACACAAUAGCCAUGUCGCUAAUACGUCAGGUCAAGGUGUAGCAAAUGUUGUGGAAGCGAUUGGCUACAUUUUUUAUUUUAAAAAAUACGAAAAAUACCAUGAAACAGUAUAUGAAGGUGAAUUUAGUAGUAAAAU